CCCCCUCCCUCCCGCCUCGCGCCUCGCGCCUCGCGCCGUGUCCGCUGCAGUGGCGCCCCCUGGCGCUGGCGAUGGCGGUCACGCGCCCUUUUCUCACGGCGUCCUUGUAAUCGCGGCGUUGGUAGUGAAGCUCCGCCUGAGGCGCUUCCAUGUGUCGCAUCGCUUUUAAAAAUAUUUGUACUGCAUGUACGUUUUUUAAAAAAGAAUCUAAAUUCAUCUAUCUGUGCACGAAGAUCUUCAGAAACCACAGAUUUAUUGUAGAAAGGUUUAACCCCCAAAUUGAAAACUGCCAUACAAACAGCAGGCGGUCUGUGUAUUCUCGCACACUGGUCUUUAUAAGAUCUGACACCAAGGCAUAAAAUCCGAUGGGAAGUUUUUUUUAUUCGAAUCAAAAGCAAUAAAGGAGCUGGUGAAUGGAGACAGUCCCAGCAUCUGGGCAGCAGCCUUCUGAAAGCAUAAAUAAUAUAAUGAGUCCUUGAAGACAAAAUGAGAGGCUGACUGGGGGGCAUGGAUUACUUUGGGAGAGCGGUACAAUUGGCGGUUGCCGUCUACUAACUGUACUGCUAUGGAUGGCGUUCGCAGACCUGCUCUUUGACGCCCCCUUGUGGUUAUAAGUGAGUUUUGGUCGUGCAGCGCGCUCCAACUGGAACAUCUGGCAUCCAGAGUGUGUGUGCCCAGACCGACAUAAUGAAAUGGCUGAAAAGGGAAGGAAGAAGCAGGAGGAAAGAGAUGUGUAGGAAGAGACUUAUGGUGAAUGACUGAUGGUUUAUGAGUAAGGUCGCGAUAUUUCCGUGGGCCAACCCAAAGGAAAGAAGGGGUGUCUACCUGGACAGAGGUGCAGGGACAGGAAAGGCAAGGCAGCCAAUCGCCCAGGACCCUCCAGCUGGGCUGAUUACAUCCCAUGAUUGUACAUAGUACAGUGCAGCAACAAAUCUGUUCCAUUUUGUGCAUUUUGUUUUUCACAGUUAAGAGAAAAUAAAGGAUUUGUGUUUAUUAAA
Molecule: long non-coding RNA, 998 nt
Organism: Brienomyrus brachyistius
Lineage: Eukaryota; Metazoa; Chordata; Actinopteri; Osteoglossiformes; Mormyridae
Exons: 3
Source: RefSeq, a predicted model, not a curated record